RNAcentral lists this ribosomal RNA (2329 nucleotides) under Bacillus cereus BDRD-ST196. RNAcentral describes it as "bacterial LSU rRNA". It matches the Rfam family "Bacterial large subunit ribosomal RNA", at positions 20 to 2351 of the family's 2925-position model. Lineage: Bacteria; Bacillati; Bacillota; Bacilli; Caryophanales; Bacillaceae. The record is from RNAcentral.
CACGGUGGAUGCCUUGACACUAGGAGUCGAUGAAGGACGGGACUAACGCCGAUAUGCUUCGGGGAGCUGUAAGUAAGCUUUGAUCCGAAGAUUUCCGAAUGGGGAAACCCACUAUACGUAAUGGUAUGGUAUCCUUACCUGAAUACAUAGGGUAUGGAAGACAGACCCAGGGAACUGAAACAUCUAAGUACCUGGAGGAAGAGAAAGCAAAUGCGAUUUCCUGAGUAGCGGCGAGCGAAACGGAAUCUAGCCCAAACCAAGAGGCUUGCCUCUUGGGGUUGUAGGACAUUCUAUACGGAGUUACAAAGGAACGAGGUAGACGAAGCGACCUGGAAAGGUCCGUCACAGAGGGUAAUAACCCCGUAGUCGAAACUUCGUUCUCUCUUGAAUGUAUCCUGAGUACGGCGGAACACGUGAAAUUCCGUCGGAAUCUGGGAGGACCAUCUCCCAAGGCUAAAUACUCCCUAGUGAUCGAUAGUGAACCAGUACCGUGAGGGAAAGGUGAAAAGCACCCCGGAAGGGGAGUGAAAGAGAUCCUGAAACCGUGUGCCUACAAAUAGUCAGAGCCCGUUAAUGGGUGAUGGCGUGCCUUUUGUAGAAUGAACCGGCGAGUUACGAUCCCGUGCGAGGUUAAGCUGAAGAGGCGGAGCCGCAGCGAAAGCGAGUCUGAAUAGGGCGUUUAGUACGUGGUCGUAGACCCGAAACCAGGUGAUCUACCCAUGUCCAGGGUGAAGUUCAGGUAACACUGAAUGGAGGCCCGAACCCACGCACGUUGAAAAGUGCGGGGAUGAGGUGUGGGUAGCGGAGAAAUUCCAAUCGAACCUGGAGAUAGCUGGUUCUCCCCGAAAUAGCUUUAGGGCUAGCCUUAAGUGUAAGAGUCUUGGAGGUAGAGCACUGAUUGAACUAGGGGUCCUCAUCGGAUUACCGAAUUCAGUCAAACUCCGAAUGCCAAUGACUUAUCCUUAGGAGUCAGACUGCGAGUGAUAAGAUCCGUAGUCAAGAGGGAAACAGCCCAGAUCGCCAGCUAAGGUCCCAAAGUGUGUAUUAAGUGGAAAAGGAUGUGGAGUUGCUUAGACAACUAGGAUGUUGGCUCAGAAGCAGCCACCAUUUAAAGAGUGCGUAAUAGCUCACUAGUCGAGUGACUCUGCGCCGAAAAUGUACCGGGGCUAAAUACACCACCGAAGCUGCGAAUUGAUACCAAUGGUAUCAGUGGUAGGGGAGCGUUCUAAGUGCAGUGAAGUCAGACCGGAAGGACUGGUGGAGCGCUUAGAAGUGAGAAUGCCGGUAUGAGUAGCGAAAGACGGGUGAGAAUCCCGUCCACCGAAUGCCUAAGGUUUCCUGAGGAAGGCUCGUCCGCUCAGGGUUAGUCAGGACCUAAGCCGAGGCCGACAGGCGUAGGCGAUGGACAACAGGUUGAUAUUCCUGUACCACCUCUUUAUCGUUUGAGCAAUGGAGGGACGCAGAAGGAUAGAAGAAGCGUGCGAUUGGUUGUGCACGUCCAAGCAGUUAGGCUGAUAAGUAGGCAAAUCCGCUUAUCGUGAAGGCUGAGCUGUGAUGGGGAAGCUCCUUAUGGAGCGAAGUCUUUGAUUCCCCGCUGCCAAGAAAAGCUUCUAGCGAGAUAAAAGGUGCCUGUACCGCAAACCGACACAGGUAGGCGAGGAGAGAAUCCUAAGGUGUGCGAGAGAACUCUGGUUAAGGAACUCGGCAAAAUGACCCCGUAACUUCGGGAGAAGGGGUGCUUUCUUAACGGAAAGCCGCAGUGAAUAGGCCCAAGCGACUGUUUAGCAAAAACACAGGUCUCUGCGAAGCCGUAAGGCGAAGUAUAGGGGCUGACACCUGCCCGGUGCUGGAAGGUUAAGGAGAGGGGUUAGCGUAAGCGAAGCUCUGAACUGAAGCCCCAGUAAACGGCGGCCGUAACUAUAACGGUCCUAAGGUAGCGAAAUUCCUUGUCGGGUAAGUUCCGACCCGCACGAAAGGUGUAACGAUUUGGGCACUGUCUCAACCAGAGACUCGGUGAAAUUAUAGUACCUGUGAAGAUGCAGGUUACCCGCGACAGGACGGAAAGACCCCGUGGAGCUUUACUGUAGCCUGAUAUUGAAUUUUGGUACAGUUUGUACAGGAUAGGCGGGAGCCAUUGAAACCGGAGCGCUAGCUUCGGUGGAGGCGCUGGUGGGAUACCGCCCUGACUGUAUUGAAAUUCUAACCUACGGGUCUCAUCGACCCGGGAGACAGUGUCAGGUGGGCAGUUUGACUGGGGCGGUCGCCUCCUAAAGUGUAACGGAGGCGCCCAAAGGUUCCCUCAGAAUGGUUGGAAAUCAUUCGUAGAGUG